RNAcentral lists this ribosomal RNA (253 nucleotides) under uncultured bacterium. Its description in RNAcentral is "partial 16S ribosomal RNA". It matches the Rfam family "Bacterial small subunit ribosomal RNA", at positions 524 to 776 of the family's 1533-position model. The record is from RNAcentral.
UACGUAGGGGGCAAGCGUUGUCCGGAAUCAUUGGGCGUAAAGAGCGUGUAGGCGGUUCGGUAAGUCGGCUGUGAAAGUCCAGGGCUCAACCCUGGGAUGCCGGUCGAUACUGCCGGACUAGAGUUCGGAAGAGGCGAGUGGAAUUCCCGGUGUAGCGGUGAAAUGCGCAGAUAUCGGGAGGAACACCUAUGGCGAAGGCAGCUCGCUGGGACGUUACUGACGCUAAGGCGCGAAAGCGUGGGGAGCAAACAGG